AUUGAACGCUGGCGGCAUGCUUUACACAUGCAAGUCGAACGGUAACAGGCCGCAAGGUGCUGACGAGUGGCGAACGGGUGAGUAAUGCAUCGGAACGUGCCCAGUCGUGGGGGAUAACUACUCGAAAGAGUAGCUAAUACCGCAUACGAUCUAUGGAUGAAAGCGGGGGACCGUAAGGCCUCGCGCGAUUGGAGCGGCCGAUGUCAGAUUAGGUAGUUGGUGGGGUAAAGGCUCACCAAGCCAACGAUGUAGCUGGUCUGAGAGGACGACCAGCCACACUGGGACUGAGACACGGCCCAGACUCCUACGGGAGGCAGCAGUGGGGAAUUUUGGACAAUGGGCGCAAGCCUGAUCCAGCAAUGCCGCGUGCAGGAAGAAGGCCUUCGGGUUGUAAACUGCUUUUGUACGGAACGAAACGGCUCUGGUUAAUACCCGGGGCUAAUGACGGUACCGUAAGAAUAAGCACCGGCUAACUACGUG
RNAcentral lists this ribosomal RNA (480 nucleotides) under uncultured bacterium. RNAcentral describes it as "partial 16S ribosomal RNA". It matches the Rfam family "Bacterial small subunit ribosomal RNA", at positions 30 to 507 of the family's 1533-position model. The record is from RNAcentral.